This 8590-nucleotide long non-coding RNA is filed under the name Setaria italica (foxtail millet). RNAcentral describes it as "long non-coding RNA (SITA_LNC001186)". The record is from RNAcentral. Lineage: Eukaryota; Viridiplantae; Streptophyta; Magnoliopsida; Poales; Poaceae.
AAACCAGCCGCUUGACAGCAUGUCAGGACACUACAACAAUGCCUGAAGCCAUUCACCAUUCAGAAGGUAGUCGGCACUACUUGUACCGUUUCCCGAGUUCGGUUUGCACCGCUAUUCGCCAUCCAACGGCUCACAUCGCAAGCUGACGGGUAAUACUGUCCCAGACGGUGAAUACUCGUUAAGUUGUUGCUUGAGCUGUAAAAUAGCUCUUUUACUUGCUGUUAAAUCUAGGAAUCGUUAUGUAAUGGAAGGACUGGGUGAGCAGCCCUCGUGUCGUGAAGAACAAACCCUAGAAUAUGUUUUGGUUUAGCAGUAGCCUCUAUGGUGCCGCCUCGGCGAUUUCAUCUGUAUCUGAACUUCCUUAUCAGUUAAGUGAAUUUGCUACUACUAGUCUGAAUUUCUUUGUUUGUUCAUUGUUUUCCUUUGGCUCGGUCCCCUUUCUUCCUUCGAUUUCUCUCUGAAUUUCCCUGAGACCUGACAAUUGGUAUCAAGAGCCAUCGGUUCUUGGCUUAAUCCCACCCAGCCACCCAUUCCACCCAAAUCCUACCCAACCCACCCUUUCCACUCAAAUCCCACCCAUCCCACCCAGAUUUAGACCAACACCCACUCUUUCCCUAAACAAUCGGUGAAUUUGCUUGGGCUAGGGUUGCAAGAUAGUGUUCUUGUGUAAAAUUUCGGAACCCUGAGUGAAUUGUCACCGAGGAGGCGUUGGAGGAAGGUUGCUCUUUGACUUGGGUUUCAAGGCUUGUUCUUGUGUAAAAUUCCUCGGUCAAAUCUGCAACCUAGGCGGUGGUAGAACUGAUUUGGGAGUCUAAUUGGGAAGAGCCUUGGCUUGAACCGAACUCUCAAUUUGGGUGACAAUGGUGCUCAAAUAAAAUAGUGGAUCAUCAAGCUUUGCUUCGGUGGAGGAAGUUGAGAAAUUGAAGUCCACACUAGACUCCUUCAUACUGAAACAUGAGGAGCAAAACAAGGUUUUGGAGUCCUCUUUGGAUAAGGUUUUGAGCAGCCUCAAUACAUUGGCCGGGUCAUCUGGUACUGAAGACAAGGGUUCAGCUUUCAAGGGCAAUGCUAUAUCACCACCUCCAAUUACCCUGGCCAACACGUCGGUUCACAUGAGGAAUGAUUUGUCUCGGUUCCAUCAACAAGUAUAUACUCCACCACCUGCAGUUACUGCUCAAGUCCAUAAUUUGCAGUCCACCCCUUGGUUUACUAAAGAACCCUCAGGAGAGGAUGAGGAUGAAGGAAAUGCUGAUUGUCCUUAGACAGCUAAGGAGUUGGAAGUAUUUUACUUCCAGGCCAAUGCUCCUUAUGAUACUGAACAGGAACAGAUACAAUAUGAGGCUACCUUUUCCAAACAACUAGCCUAGCAAGAUCAUCACUAUGGACAAGCUGUUCAUUCUUUCAGACCAUACACUCUCAGCAAACUGCUACUAGAAAUUUGGCUUUCACUCAACAGCUGCAAGCACAACAAAAGUUACUAGCUAAAGGCCCAAAAUUAUCUUUCCCUGAAUUUGAUGGCUUGGGUCCGAUGGUUGGAUAAGAAAGGUUGAGAAGUUCUUUGAACUGGUUGGGGUUCCCAAUGAAAAAAGAGUGCAAAUUGUUGUGAUGUACAUUAUGGGCAAAACUGAAUUUUGGUGGAGAAGCAUUGGCUGUAAUGCUCAUAACAUUCCCUAGCAUCAUUUCUGCAUAAUGAUAACUGACAGGUUUAAUGAAGAAUCUUCUUAUGAAGUGAUUGCUAUGUUUCAUGGGCUAAAACAUACAAGUACUGUUUCAGAGUAUAUCACUAAGUUUGAGGAAUCGAUGGGUUCAGUGAAAAGAGAAAAUCCUUCUCUACAAGAUUCCUAUUUCAUUACAAGUUUUGUCUCAGGAUUACAAGAACCCAUACAACAUCAUUUAUAGUGCCACAAACCAUCUUCCUUAACUAAUGCUUUUUGGUAUGCUAGAAGGUUGGAGCAAACUCAUCCUCAAGUUAAAAAGCACCAGCAAUUCACUAGCACUUUUAAGCCCCCAAAAAUCUGGACCAAGGAUAUUAAAGAAAAAGAGAAUACAACAAACACUAUUGCUGAAUUAAGAGUAGCUGGCAAGUGUUUCAAGUGCAAAGAGGCCUGGGUGCCUGGCCAUGCUAAGGUAUGUAAAGGAAAAUAAAUUUAUUCAGUUAUGAUGGUGGAGACAAAUGUGAAAGAAGAAAUGACUUUAAUUGAAGAUGAUGCGCAUAGAGAUGAUGGAGAGUACCAUGAUGCUGAAUCAAUACCAACAGUUAAACUCUCAAUGCAUGCCUUAACUGGUACUUCAUCCUUAGCCAGAACCUUCACACUCACAGUCAAGAUUGGCACUACUUCUGCGAUAGCACUUGUGGACAGUGGUAGUGAUGUGUCUUUUAUUAAUGCAAAGUUUGCUCUAAAGAAUAACCUGUCAAUUUCCCAGAUUGAGCCAGUCAAGGUAGCAGCUGCUAAUAGUACUUAAAUGCUCAGCACCGCUUGUACUGCUCGCUCUUAUUCCAUUCAAGGUCCUUCAUUUAAAUCUGAUUUGAGACUGUUGGAAGUUCAAGGCUUUGAUGUGGUUUUAGGAGCUGACUGGAUUUACACUCACAGUCCAGUUGGUUUGGAUUUAAAGAAGAGGGAAUUUUCUAUUACCAAGGAUGGUAAAACAACUGUCACAUUUCAAGAGGAGAAUGCUACUAGUAGCUGUCAGCUAAUUAGCACCAGAAAGUUUGCAAUUUACUGAAGAAAAAAGUUGUAGGAGCUGUGUUGGUGUUAACUAACAGCAAAGAUCCAGUCACUAAAACUUCACCCUCCAUACCAGAUCAAAUUCAAGAAGUGUUGGAUGACUUUCAGGAUGUAUUUGCAGAGCCUUCCUCCUCAAAGAAUAGUGGAUCAUUCCAUACCUCUGAUUGAUGCAACGAAAACAAUUAAUCAGAGACCAUAUAGGUUACCACACCAUUAGAAAAAUGCAAUGGAGGAAUUGAUUCAAAACCUCAUAUAGGCUUACAUGAUAAGACCUAGUGUAAGCCCUUAUUAUUCUCCUGUGAUCUUAGUCAAAAAGAAAGAUGGCACUUGGAGGCUUUGUGUGGAUUUUAGACAAUUGAACUCCAAUACAGUAAAAAACAAGUAUCCAAUUCCAAUCAUUGAAGACCUUUUGGAUGAGUUAUUUGGGGCUCAAAUUUUCUCUAAAAUUGACCUCAGGUCAGGUUAUCAUCAAAUCAGAAUGAAUGAGGCAGACAUUCACAAAACUGCAUUAACCACUCAUGUUGGUCAUUUUGAGUAUCUAGUCAUGCCAUUUGGACUCACAAAUGCUCCAGCAACCUUUCAAACAUUGAUGAAUACUAUUUUAGCAGAAUUCUUAAGAAAAUUUUCCUUGGUCUUCUUUAAUGACAUAUUGAUUUACAGCACCUCCUUAGCAGACCAUGUGGAUCAUCUGAAAUAUGUUUUAGUAGUGCUCAGGGAAAACAAAUUGUAUGCCAAACUCUCUAAAUGUACUUUUGCUCAACCUGAAGUGGAAUACUUGGCGCAUGUGAUUAACAAGGAGGGUGUGGCUACAGAUCCUUCUAUGAUAUCAAUUAUUCAAAAUUGGCCACAACCAAAGUCUAUCACUGAACUGAGGGCAUUUUUGGGACUUACUGGCUAUUACAGGAGGUUUAUUCAAGGCUAUGGUAUUAUCUACAGGCGAUUGUUUGAUGCACUGAAGAAAAAUGCUUUUGAGUGGAUUUCAAAGCAAUCUCAAGCUUUUGAGCAACUUAAACAUUUGAUGUCCCACCCACCAGUCUUAUCCCUCCCAGAUUUCUCUCAACCUUUUAUUUAUGAGGCUGAUGCAAGUGGCAAUGGGAUGGGGGCUGUAGUGAUACAAAAUGGGAAACCACUCUCUUUUCUCAGCAAAACGUUGGGUCCUAAAGGAGCAGCUCUAUCAACAUAUGAAGAGGAAGCAAUGGCAAUUUUAGAGGCAAUAAAAAAGUGGAAGCAUUACUUUGCUAGCACAUCUAUUAUCAUCAGGACAUAUCAGUAGAGUUUAAGGUACAUUCAUGAACAAAGGCUUGUAGAGGGAAUUCAGCAUAAAUUACUAGUAAAACUGUUGGGGUAUAAUUACAAAAUUGAGUAUAAGAAAGGCAAGGAAAACAAAGCAACUGAUGCUUUAUUUAGAGUUGAGCUCAACACAACACUACAUGCAAUAUUUGUCAUCAUACCAACCUGGAUUGAGCAGGUGAUAGAUAGUUACAAGAUUGACCCUUUCUGCCUUGAAUUGAUCACCAAAUUGAGCUUAGACACCAAUGCUAUCCCCAACUAUACAUUAGCUAGUGGAGUAUUGAGAUACAAAGGUAGAGUACUGAUUUGUAAUAAGUGCCAUUUGAAGUCAAACAGUGACCCUGAAGAAUUCAGAAAGAAAUUCAAAAGAAAAAGAAGAAAAAUAGCAAAAAGACCAAAUUCGACCAAAUUUUGACCGAAAUUUGAAUUUCAAAUUUGAAAUUCAGAAAAAUUUGUCAAAAAUGUGGAACACAAGUGUAAGAGUGAUUGGAACUGAAGGAUCAAAAAUUUGGAAUUGAAAUAGUGCUAAGUACUUCAGAAGAAUCAAAGAAAGAAAAAAGAAAAACUCAGUUUACUGUUCACCAUCCGAAAACAGGAAUUCAGAGAAAACAGCCUCAGAGUUGAUUUUGGAAAUUGAUUUCUGGAAAAUUUUUCAAAUAAGUGCACCAGGACAACUACACUAUAUUGAAGUAUAAACCUUGGGCUACAAGAUUUGGGUGUUGUUGGCCAGGAUCAGUAAUAGGAAGGAAUUCAAAUUCAAGCCCAAAGUCAGCACAUUAUCACAGUUAACUGACACUCUGAAAUACAGCUAAGUCUGAAACUUGACAGCAUAGGGUUAACUUUGAGCUCGGAUUCAGGGCAAUGUAGAUCAAGAAGGGUAGGUGUUCUCAGGCAAAAUGGAAACUUGGGAGGUUAUAGAACACGUUUGAGAAGAAAUUGGACUGAGGGCAGAAGAUUUAGACCACUAAAUCGAGUCAUCAAAUGAGCUCCAUGGCACUGUCAACGCCUGACGAAACUGAAUAAUGGUUUCAGUUGAAAUUCAGAGGAACCCAAGAAAACAAAUCCAAAUUCAAGCCAAUUCGAUGCUUAUCUCGAGCCGAAAUCAAAAUAAAAGUUAAAGAGCUCGAGUUUAUCUGCCACUUUGGUUAAAGCACGAGCAGCCGUCGGAUCAAGGAUCAGCCGCUAGCCGCUUCUGAAGAUCGCGGGCGCCAGAAGACGGUAACUGAGCACCAGGACGUGUCGCCGCCGCCGUCGUCGGUCGUCCGCCAGCGCAGCUAAGCUAGGCCACCUCCUCACCACGCAAGCCUAGCAGUAGACCACGGUGGCAGCCAUGCGCGCGGUGAAAUCCUUGAAUGUUUACUGUUCCCGCGCCGCCGUUUCACUGCUUCCCCUUUUUACCGCCGCCCGCUCUCCUCUGAUCAGUAUCGCCGCCAAGCAAAAUUCUAUCUCCUCCCAGCAGCUCUCGUCGAUUCCUCUCGCCCACUCCUCCACAGACACCCCAGCCACACCCCGAGCUAGUUGUUGUCCCACAUCCUCGCCGGAAUAGCCGUGCUCGCCGCCGCUUCUGUCCGCCGCCGUCGCGCCGCCCACUCACGGUGAGAACCACCUUGCGCUACCUUUCUUCUUCCUUGAGCAGUCGUGGUCGAGUUCUUAGGGUUCCAGGAUGGAGUAGAAGCAGUCGGUUGAGUCAGUUAAGUAGUUGUCACGGGUAACGAUGGCCGGCCGUGGGUGUUGCCGCCCGUCGCCGUGGAGGGGGUAGCUCCAGUCGUCUCCAGGGGAGCUGUUUCCGCGCACGGAGUCGUGUAGGGUUAGGGUUGGUGUCGUCAUCGAGAACCGCCGCCGGGAGGGUGCCGGCCGGCGAGCCGCGCCGCCCCCUGUUCCGGUCGCGCUUUUGGCGGGAGGAGAAAGAAGGUGCUGUGCACCGGGCCCGCAUGUCAGUAAGAGAGAAGGGGAGGAAGGCGCGGGUCAGAGCGGUGCGGCCGUCUGUGGGCCGGUGCGUUGAGGCCCAGUGACGCGCGUGCGGUCGGCCGAAAAAGAAAAGAGCCGGAGGCCCAGGGAAAGCAGGCCGCGAUCGCGUAAGCAAAGAGAAAAAGGAAGAAGGCCGUUGGGCCGGUGUCAGGCCGGAGAAGGGGAAAGAAAAAGAAGAACGGCCCACGGGGCCCAUCAGAGGGAGAAAGGGGCUGGCGGGUAGAGUAUAUAGGAGAAGUGGGGUCCGCGCCGUGGGGGGCCCAGUGUUCGCGAGUGAGGGUAGAGUGUGGGUGAGUGAGAAAAGUUUUCCGGGGGAAUUUCGGGGAAAAAUUAGAUUUCUUUAGCAAAAUAAUCCGUUUAAAUUCGUUUUACACCAUUUUAAUCACAGAAAUUUGUAGGAGUGUCCAAAAUUAGUGAAACCAAUUUUGUUAGGCUUGUUUUAUUUUCCUUUAUGCAUUAAAAUUUUUACACCCUAGGAAAAUAAUAAAAAUUUAGGUAUUUAUUUAAUGCCUUCCUUUUAAGGUAAUUAAAUAAAUACUUAAUAUUUAUACAAUGUAUAAAAUAUGAAUAAUGCUUUAUCAAUCACAAAUAAUCCUUAACCCAUAAGAAAUUAGAUUUUCAAAGUUAGAAAGUAAUUACCACUUUUUCUAAAAAUAAAAGAAAAAGCUAUAGGAAUGGUUAAUUAAGAAAAUAAAAAUCUAGGUUAAUCUUUUUAGAUUUCUUUUGUGUGUUGACUUACAACCUAUUCGUGAUAAGUCGUAUAGUCCUUGUUGGCUUGCAACUUUAUCAUGAAGAAAAGUUGUAUAGUCUGUCAUUUAAAAAGUUUGCAUCCUAACCCCCUGCAUGUAUGUACCGUAGAUCCAGAAGCGCCAGAAGAGGAUUACUGGGAAUUUUCAGAAGGACCCUUGGAAUCCGACGAGGUGUUUGAAUUUGUUCCCUACGAGGCAAAUCCGUCGGCUUCUACUAAUCGUUUUAACGAUCAAGGCAAGCCCCGGUGCAUUUAUACCUAUCUAUUUUGGAGUCGUUAUUUCAUGUGACUAGUUAUAGGUUAAUUGGUUAUUGUAUGCACUAGGUCUAGGAGUUGGAUGAAACCUAUUCUUGUGUAUGAUCAUGCCUUGAAUUAAGGACAUCUUUGCCACUUGUUCAAAUCCUAGAAACUACCCAAGUCUAGAAUUGCUUACUCGCUUACAUGCUUGGUUUACCAACUUUAGGAAAAACUCUUGAUCAUACAUGCUGUUUAGGAAAGAUAGUUUGAAGUAUAGAACCAGACAGAAGCUAGAGAUGUAGUUCUGUCUGCUUAUUAAUCUGCUUGAGGACCGGGCCGUGUCUUAACUGCUGAUCAAGUGAUAACAUCUGAUCACUUACUGGGUAUGGGACCAGUAAAGCCCAGUAGGUUAGUAAAUUCUAUGAUCAGGAAUGCUUCGUACCCGCAUUUAACGUGCUGGAGAUUGGCAGGGGUGUAGCCUGAAACUCACAUGGGGAUCAGGCCAGACGUGGGGUCCCAUGUGGGGGUGCAUCCCUGGGUCCGGGUAGUUGUGUUCCUAAUCAUUGACUUUACUAAUCGAGAGGUUGCUAGUACGACCUGGACAGUCGUAUAAUGCUGGUGAUCGGGGUAUUCUCCUACAGGAUGUAAAUUGAUCCGGAUCGCCGCAAUUCUCGGUUAUGAAUGCACUUGAUCACUGUUGAGCUUCGUAGCAUGAACUCAUGUGAUAUAAAAAUUUCUGUUGCCAAGUACUGUAUGAAUCAACAGCUGUGAUUGCUUUUACUUCUGUUACCAUCUAGAAUGGUUAGGUAACAACUUAACUAAACUAAAAGACAAAACUAAGGCCUCACUCGUAGUAAGCUUUUCGGCAAAAAUUGUGUCAACCAAGCACACCUAAAGGCUGACAUGCAUUCCACAGAAAAACUAUUAUAUUGGUUAGUCGGGUAAGACUUGCUGAGUACCCCGUACUCAGGGUUUUCCCCUUGUGGUUAUCUUUCAGAAGCUACCCAAGAAGCUGUCGAGGAGGAGACCCCGAAGACCUAGAGUAUUGACCUGAGUCUCUCAAUACUCUAGAAAACCGUUAGCGACGCAUCUUCUCCUAAACUACUUAUAUUUAAUCUUAGAGCUUGUCUAACUAUGCAUCACUAAGUUUGUUUCAACUUGAAGUCUUGUAAUAACUCGUACCUCUUAUUUAUGUAUGUAAAAAAUGUAAUGUUUGUUGAUAUUAUCCCAUCGCGGAUACUAUCCUGAUGUAUGGUGAUGAAACACGCCGUGGAUCUUUCGAGGAGUCCUAGGGACACUCGACGGACUACCGGACUUAUGCUGUUUUAGGUGCGUUUCGGAUAAUUGCUGCUCCGACAGCGAUUAGGCGCACUUAAACCAGCUUAAGUUGGGCGGUUCCGCCACAGCUGGUAUCAGAGCCGUAGGUUGGGAUAAUCAACAAAUAUUACUUUGCAAAUACUGAGACUCUAUUUUAAAAUAAUAAAAACAAGAGUCACAGGUGGCAGUAGUGUUAACUGGUUGAUUGUUUUGCAGAUGCUAACUGUUUGCUGCGUGUCGCUAGUAUUCGAUAGUUUAUUAGGGAGAGAUUACAAUGCCACCAAUUUUUCUACGAGUGUGUAUA